This is a long non-coding RNA of Lynx canadensis (Canada lynx), 4566 nucleotides long. NCBI's taxonomy places the organism in Eukaryota, Metazoa, Chordata, Mammalia, Carnivora, Felidae. The record is from Ensembl.
AUGAAUGAAUGCCCUUGUCCAUUGUCCAUCCCAGGAAGCAGGGACACUCGGGACCCUCCCUAUUCAUCUCGAUCCUCCGCCCGCUCGCCGGCCUGGAAUGAAUGCCUCCCUUUUACCCGCUCCGAGGAUGGCCGGGCCGGGUCGGGGGCAGACCGGGAGGAGGAGGGGAUCGGGGGCUGCCCUGGGCCCCCUCCCGGGUCUCCUAAAGGGUCAGCUUUUCCGGACGUGGGGAGUUUACCUCUUGGCGAAACUCAGCCUCGGCCACCUGAUGACCAGCCCCAGACCCUCCCGCCCCUUACCAACCAGGACACCCCAGACCGACACUCAGCCACCAGCACGUGGUCCAGGGGCCCCAGCUUCCCAUUGGUUGCUCGUCUCCUUCCUUCCCCGCGAUUGGCAGGGGCCCAGCCUCAGGUCCCCCCCUCCGCGCCCUACGGUGGUACAGCCUGCCGUGGCUUAGGCGGGGUGGGAAGGUCCACUGCGCCGCGGCGCGGGGGGGGGGGUGGGUCGGAAAGAGCCGGGCGAGGCGGAGGGAUCCCUUUGGAAUGUUUCCGUCGAAACCACCCGGGGCGGGGCGGCACGGCGCGGAUUGGCCACGAGCGUCGGACGGCCGCUUCUGAUUGGCGGGACGCGGGCGCCGGCCCCGCCCCCCUGGCCGCGGCUGCGGGAGAGGCCCGGCCCGGAGUUUGCGGAGGGCCGAGCGGGGCGCGCGUAGGGUGGCGGCGGCGGCGCAGGUUGUGUGCGUGAUCUCUUUGGACUCCCAUAAGCACCUUGAGAAACAGGAAUUCUGCCCAUUUUUUCGGAUGAGAAAACCGAGGCCCCAUCACAUGAAGUGACUUGCCCACGGCCACACAGCUGGUAAGUGGCAGGGGUGGGAUCUGAACCCAGGCCAUCCUGCCUCUUGUAGCCUGGAAGGCAACUUCAUUAAUCACUCACUUUCUUCACCACCACUAUUCCCUCCUCACAGGUAAGGCCAUGGAAACUAGCCUGAACCAGGGCAGCAAACGUAGGCAGAGUGAGGAGGCUGGGAACUGGUGAUCUGGAUGUGGGGGCCCUGGGAAAAGGGGGACGUUUGAAUCUUAGCAGCUGACUGAAAGAUGAUGGGACAGAUGGAACCAGUAGGAAAAAUCACCCUUUACGGAACCCUUAUUGUGCGCCCACAUGCGUGAUUUCCUUGGAGCUCAGAGAAGUUAAGACACUUGCCCAGGGUCACACAGCUCGUAAGUGGAAAAGCCAGGUUCCAGACUCAUGUUCUCAGCCUCCUGCUAAAAUGUAUGAGGAGCAGCAGAAGGAGAACCAGGGGAGGGGAUGAUGAGGAUUUGUGCUGGUUUUGUUUGUUUAAGCAUCAUUGAGUGUGAUGAAAUACCUUCAUACCCCGAGGCAAAAGUUUUGGUUCAUUCAGAAUUUUCUUUUUUGUCAAAUGUUCUGUGAGCGCCUUCUGCGAUGGGUGCUGGAGAUAGAGAGAUGGAUAACCGAUGAAAGGCUGGUCUCUUGGGCGCCUGGGUGGCUCGGUCAGUUAAGCGUCCCACUUCGGCUCAGGUCGUGAUCUCACGGUUCAUGAGUUCGAGCCCCACAUCGGGCUCUGCGCUGACAGCUCAGAGCCUGGAGCCUGCUUCAGAUUCCGUGUCUCCCUCUCUCUCUGCCCCUGCCCCGCUUGUGCUCUGUCACUCUCUGUCUCUCAAAAAUAAAUAAAAACAUUAAAAAAACAUUAAAGAAAAAAAAAAGACCGGUCACUUGAAAUGUCUAAGGAGUGCCCGCAAAUCAAGAAGAAAAAAGAUAGGCAUUAUGAUAAAAAACAAACUGAAUGAAUGCAAUUUUUAAAAGCGGGCAAAGACUUAAACAGGCAGUUUGCAACAGGACAAAUCCAACCAGUUCAUGAACGUGUUAACAGUUGUUCAGCAUCACUGAUGAUGAAGGGAGUAAAAACGAAACUGCGAUGAAAGGUGAGGGAGACACGCUCCGUGUCUGUGUGGCCGGAUGGAGCACCUACCCUGCACCCAGCACCAUGCUGGGAAGUGAGGGCUGAGGAUCACAGAGGUGGGGCUUGCGUGUUUGCUGGGGAGACAGUACCCCCUCGAGGGCAGGGACCACAGAGCCAGGCACGGGGACUGGUGGGCUAAUGACUAUUAGGAUCAUUCCUUCAUCCAUCCCUUCAUUCAUUCGACAAAUGCAUACUGAGCACCUGCUACACCCCCGGGCACUGUUUUCUGUGCUAAGAAUAUAGGGAUGAGCAAGGCAGACAGACUGCCUUGCCCUUUCCCAAAACAGUGAACGAGAACAGUGGAUGAAAUCUACAUCCCACCUGAAAGAGGUGUGACAGUCUCUGUGUGGAUGCCACAGGGCGCAGUCAAGUGCAAAAGCUCGGACACUCGAUUGUACCUGGUGUGUUAGAGGGGCAGGGACCGGGCCCGUGUGCCUGGGAAGACCGAGCAAGGGGGAGGGGGGGAGAAGGGGGGGGCAGGGAGGCGAGGGGGGCAGGUCUUUUGGGGCGUGUGGGUGGAGGGGAGGACGGUGACUUUUACUGUGAAUGAGGUGGGAGCCCCGGGAGGGGUCGAAGCAGAGGACAGAGGUGAGACGGGACUUGUGUUUUACAGGAUCAUUCUGGCUGCCGUGUUGACCGGAGACCGUGGAGGGUGAGGGCAGAAGCCGGGAGACUCGGAGGAGGCAACCGCACUAGUGUAGGUGAGAGAUGAUGGGGCUGGACCAGGUGCCCCUAGAGGAGGCGGUGGAGAGCAGACGAAUGAAUGCGGGAGCAAAUGAGCGGAUGCGUGAGUGUGAGUGCAGCGCACUGGGCUUGGCGGAAUCCGGGAGGGCUCCCUGGAAGAGGAGAGUUGAAGGGAGGGAGCGGGAAGUCCCCUUUACACAGAAGAUAUUGUGUGGCAUGAUGUGAUCCUCAGCACAGCCUGGCCAGGUGAGUGUACCCGUCUGUAGAACAGGCAUCCGAGGCCCAGGGAGAGUGAGUGGCCUAGGGAACCACUUUGCACGUGGGGGGCAGACAGACCCGAGAGUGCUGCCGGCUUCUGUGGCUUAGGGCGGCUUCUGUGGCUUAGGGUGCGUGGCUUGAAAAUGAAACCUGACCUCCUUCCCAUUCUGGGAAGCCGGCACGGUCGACCCCUCCUACGCCCAGCACUUCUUUACCCCCCCCCUUCCGCAUCGCUCUCUCUGUUCAGUUACACUGGCCCCUUGCUGCUCUGUGAGCAGAGUCCGCGAGUCUGCUCAGAGCCCUCCCGUGGCUGCCCCCUCGCUCAGAGCGAAAGCCUAAGUCCUUCCUGGGCCCUCAAGGCCCUGCCCGCUCUGCCCUAUCCCUCCCUGCCCUCACCUCCUCCUGCUGUCCCCCUCACCACUCUGUUCCAACCAUGCAGGCCCACUUGCUGUCCCUCAAACACAUGCCAAGCGUGUCCCCAUCUCAGGGCCUUUGCACUGGCGGUUCCCUCUGCCUGGAGCUGUCUUGCCUCACAUCGUUAUAUGGAGGCUUCUUCCUGUCAUUCGAGUCUCAAGUUCAGCUUCACCUGCUCAGAGAGGCCCUCCUUGAUUUUGUUGGUAGAAGCACUUAUCUUGUUUUAUUGUCUUCAUAGCACCCUUAGAAAUUAUACUAGGCUUUUACACAUUGGCUUGCUCACUGCGCAUUUCCUCUGGACUGUAUGCUUCGGAAAAGCGUGAACAGAACCCCAGCUGGUGUAUAUGGCACCCAGGAGAGAGUUAGAAAGAGGCAGGCCUUCCUCCCAGCAAACACAUCCAGCUUGGCACGUAGCUCGACGAGCCAGAGCAGAGGCUGAGUUUCAGUCCCACUUGCCACCUUGGUCGGGUGCUUUUGCACAGUGAACACCUGUGGAACUGCAUACAGUGCCCCUAGUCAGGGACCUUGGUCAUCUUACUGAAGGCAGUAUCUAAAAUGGUGCAUCGCAUAUAGUAAGUAUGCGAAGAUUCUAUUUGAAAGGAGGGUGGGAAGAGAAACUGAGAGAAUCGCAGUAGGAGAAAGAAAGAAAGUGUAUCAGGACAAGUUUUGCUACAGUAGCGACAACCUCCAAAAUCUUAGUGGCUGAAUUCCACAAAGGUUUUUUUAGUCCUGCUACAUCUCCAUUGCAGCUCAGUAGGGGGUUCCAUUCGUCAUAGUCCGUUGUCACUCGGGGCCAGGCUGAUGGCGCUGCCACCUGGACAAAUGUGUCAGGUCACCCUGCCUGGGAGAUGCAGACCCCCAGAGGCUCUUGAUCUAGUACUGAAAUGCUUCAGCCCAGAAAUGCCAUGUGUCCCCUCCUCUCACAGCUCAUUGGCCAGAACUAGUCAUAUGCCUGCCCAGUCACAGGGAGGUCAGUAAAUGUCACCUGGCUGUGUGCUUUGAAGGGAGAGUCGGAAACUUUUUGUGCACGGCACCAGUGACUGCAACCAGUAGAAAGAGAAGGAGAAACUGGAGGCACCUGGGCGGCUCAGUCAGUGAAGCAUCUGCCUCUUGAUUUCAGCUCAGGUUCUUGAUCUCAGGGUCGUGGGCUCAAGCCCCGUGUUGGGCUCCGCACUCGGUGUGAAACCUACUUUAAAAAAAUAAUAAUGAGGGGCGCCUGGGUGGCGCAG